CCAAUAGCGUAUAUUAAAGUUGUUGCAGUUAAAAAGCUCGUAGUUGAAUUUUGGAUUCUUCCAAUUGGUCCAUCUUUUAGAUGAGUACUGGUUGUGUGGGGUCUAUCCGCCUGGUGAUACGUAAUGUCCUUUAUUGGAUGUUGCGGGUAGUCAGGACCUUUACCUUGAAAAAAUUAGAGUGUUUAAAGCAGGCUUAUGCCGGAAUACAUUAGCAUGGAAUAAUAGAAUAGGACGAAGUUGUUUUAUUUUGUUGGUUUCUAGGACAACCGUAAUGAUUAAUAGGGAUAGUUGGGGGCAUUAGUAUUAAAUUGCCAGAGGUGAAAUUCUUGGAUUUAUUGAAGACUAACUACUGCGAAAGCAUUUGCCAAGGAUGUUUUCAUUAAUCAAGAACGAAAGUUAGGGGAUCGAAGACGAUCAGAUACCGUCGUAGUCUUAACCAUAAACUAUGCCGACUAGGGAUCGGGCGAUGUUGUUUCCAUGACUCGCUCGGCACCUUAUG
RNAcentral lists this ribosomal RNA (499 nucleotides) under uncultured Glomeromycotina. RNAcentral's name for it is "partial small subunit ribosomal RNA". It matches the Rfam family "Eukaryotic small subunit ribosomal RNA", at positions 591 to 1092 of the family's 1831-position model. The record is from RNAcentral. Lineage: Eukaryota; Fungi; Glomeromycota.